RNAcentral lists this long non-coding RNA (869 nucleotides) under Homo sapiens (human). RNAcentral's name for it is "HSALNT0148605". Lineage: Eukaryota; Metazoa; Chordata; Mammalia; Primates; Hominidae. The record is from RNAcentral.
UAAACAGAAUCAUACAGGCCAGGCACGGUGGCCAUGUGAAGACAGAAGCAGAGAUUGGAGUUAUGUCUACAAGCCAAGAUAAGCCAAGGGUUGCUAGCAGCCAUCAGAAACUAGGAAAGGCAUGGAAUGAAUUCUCCCCCAGAGCCAUCACAGAAAACCAACUCUGCCAACAUCUUGACUUUUAACUUGUGGCCUCAACUAUGAGAGAAUAACUUUGCUUUAAGCCAUCACAUUUGUGGUAACUUGUUAUGGCAGCACUAAGAAAUGAAUACACUAAAGACCUGAUUUCAAAGCUGCCUGGCAUAAGCUGGUGCUCAAUAAAAGCUCGCGGAGCUGAGUUAGGUUGUGAAUAUUCCUUAGCAAGGACCUGGACCUCUCUUUGUGUGUGUUGAACAAGAAUAACUGAACGUGAGCUCUUUUUCCUGAUUUGUUUCCCUAACUAAAAUUUAGUAGCUUGGAUCAGAGAGAUGGUCCCAGUUUCCUGUAGAUCUUCUGGAAUUAGAGUAAAUGUGACCUAUUUUCCUCUUUAAUGGCAUCAAGGCUGGGGCAUUCUGAGUGUGAAUCACCAUGGAUAGUGACACAUUUUUUAUUGGCAAGGGGACCGGCCUUAUUUUGGUAGAUGAGUUGUUAUUUUCCUCUGAUUCAGCUUAAGUUUAGUACUGAUGUCCAAAAGCAGAAAAGGAGAAAAAGAGCCAAUUAGGAUGUCUGGAUACCAUACUGCUUACACUGACUACAGAAAUGUCUAUCAUACUAGGGUUAAGUUUGAACUAUCAGAAAUCUGCCUCAGCACACAUUUGGAGAAUUUUUUUUUUUUUAAAGACAGGGCCUCACUCUGUCAUCCAGGCUGGAGUGCAGUGGCAUGAUCAGAG